AUUGAAGAUGAAAAGACUUCGGAUCUUUAUUUUGGAAAUUAACCCUUCAAUU
RNAcentral lists this transfer RNA (52 nucleotides) under Leptotrombidium chiangraiense. RNAcentral's name for it is "Leptotrombidium chiangraiensis tRNA-Arg". The record is from RNAcentral. Lineage: Eukaryota; Metazoa; Arthropoda; Arachnida; Trombidiformes; Trombiculidae.